GCCAGACUCCUACGGGAGGCAGCAGUGGGGGAUAUUGCACAAUGGGGGGAACCCUGAUGCAGCGACGCCGCGUGGGUGAAGGAGCGUUUCGGCGCGUAAAGCCCUCUCGGCAGGGAAGAAGGAGGACGGUACCUGACUAAGAAGCCCCGGCUAACUACGUGCCAGCAGCCGCGGUAAUACGUAGGGGGCAAGCGUUAUCCGGAUUUACUGGGUGUAAAGGGGGCGCAGACGGCAGCGCAAGCCAGGAGUGAAAGCCCGGGGCCCAACCCCGGGACUGCUCUUGGAACUGCGCGGCUGGAGUGCAGGAGGGGCAGGCGGAAUUCCUGGUGUAGCGGUGAAAUGCGUAGAUAUCAGGAGGAACACCGGUGGCGAAGGCGGCCUGCUGGACUGCGACUGACGUUGAGGCCCGAAAGCGUGGGGAGCAAACAGGAUUAGAUACCCCUGUAAAC
This 449-nucleotide ribosomal RNA is filed under the name uncultured bacterium. RNAcentral describes it as "partial 16S ribosomal RNA". It matches the Rfam family "Bacterial small subunit ribosomal RNA", at positions 330 to 795 of the family's 1533-position model. The record is from RNAcentral.